RNAcentral lists this ribosomal RNA (823 nucleotides) under uncultured bacterium. Its description in RNAcentral is "bacterial SSU rRNA". It matches the Rfam family "Bacterial small subunit ribosomal RNA", at positions 41 to 899 of the family's 1533-position model. The record is from RNAcentral.
GGAGCGCGCUACCUGCAGUCGAAGCUCGCAGAGAGUGGCGCACGGGUGAGUAACACGUAGCUAAUCUGCCCUCAAGACAAGGAUAACUGUAGGAAACUACUGCUAAUACUUGAUAAGCUUACGGACUGUAGAGGUCUAUAAGAAAAGAUUUAUCGCUUGAGGAUGAGGCUGCGCGCCAUCAGCUAGUUGGUGAGGUAAUGGCUCACCAAGGCGACGACGGCUAGGGGACCUGAGAGGGUGACCCCCCACACUGGGACUGAGACACGGCCCAGACUCCUACGGGAGGCAGCAGUGAGGAAUAUUGCACAAUGGGCGCAAGCCUGAUGCAGCGACGCCGCGUGGAUGAAGAAGGUUUUCGGACUGUAAAAUCCUUUUCUGUGUGACGAGAGUGGACGGUAGCACAGGAAUAAGUCUCGGCUAACUACGUGCCAGCAGCCGCGGUAAAACGUAGGAGGCAAGCGUUAUCCGGAGUUACUGGGCGUAAAGCGCGUGUAGGUGGGUUGGUAAGUUACUUAUAAAAGCCCCUGGCUAAACUAGGGGAGGUUGAGUGAUACUGCCAGUCUUGAAUAGAGGAGAGGUUGACGGAAUUCCGCGUGUAGUGGUGAAAUGCGUAGAGAUGCGGAAGAACACCAGUGGCGAAGGCGGUCAACUGGCCUCAUAUUGACACUCAGACGCGAAGGCAUGGGUAGCGAACGGGAUUAGAAACCCCGGUAGUCCAUGCAAUAAACGAUGCACACUGAAUGUUCGUUGUCCUACGGGGCAAUGAGUGUUGAAGCUAACGCGUUAAGUGUGCCGCCUGGGGAGUACGGUCGCAAGCUAAUAG